Molecule: long non-coding RNA, 2690 nt
Organism: Melopsittacus undulatus (budgerigar)
Lineage: Eukaryota; Metazoa; Chordata; Aves; Psittaciformes; Psittaculidae
Exons: 2
Source: RefSeq, a predicted model, not a curated record
ACCAAAAAAAAUAUAUAUUCCUAUUUUGUGGGGUUUUUUCCCCAAAUCAACUUUGUAGGAAUCGGGCUUGCAGAUUUACCCCUUGUUGUUUAAAACUGGAUGAGAUGACAGUGCAAAAACCCAACUGGAAGUAACAAGGAGCAUCCUACUUUUCCUCUCCUCAGCCGUGGUGAGAAAAAACUGUGGAUCCCGGAGUUUCCCUGUGGAUUGUACUGGUUUUCCUGGAGUACUUGCUUGUUGAGAUUGCCUUGUGUCCAGGGAGGGUCAGUGCAGGAGGAGCCGAUGUGCCAGCAUCCCCAGGUGAGUUGGGAAGGUAAGUUCACGUGUCCAACCUGCUCUGAAAUGCAGGAGCAUCCCUCUGGAUAAAUAAAUACAGGUUCCAGUGAAACAUUCCUGGGGCACUGCUGGGAACACCUCGGAGAGGCCGAGAUGAACUCCAACCACUCUGUUCAGCCGCUGUCUUUCUGAUUUCACAUUGAGAAUCCAAAGGGAUUUGAAAGGAGCUGCAGUGUCAGAUGGGAUGAUUCAAGGACAGAACUUUCUAGCACUGAAAAUAAUUACGCUCUCGUGUCCUAAGCACACAUAUAGGUAUCUCAGGUACAUGCUUACUGCCUGUCCCAGAUUCCCACAUGCCCAGUACUUGGUGUGAACGUUGGUUUUCCCUUUGCGCUAGAGAAUAGGCUAGUGGAGGUGUAUUGAGCCCUCACUUAGCAAAGUCCUGCUUGCUCCCGUCUCAAACUAGGAUAAAGAUAGGGUAUUUUAUGUAUACAUAUAAAACCAUCAAUUAAAACAUGAACCUCAAACACAGAAUGGAUUCCAGAGCUGAAACUGAUUGUUCAUGAUUGCUUUCUUUUUGAGUCACUGGAGGAGAUGAAAGCAAUAACUGCCCAGGUACAGUCAAUACUACAGUAAUACCCAUGGUAAUUACAGGGGGGGUGUUUGGUUUCAGGUUUUAGGUUUAGGUUUAACUUUCUCUGGGUACUUGUUUGCUCUGUGGUUGGGUGCUGAGGAGUUGGACUGGGGGCUGUUGGUAUUGAGGAUGCUGAAGUGAUGAAAAACCGCUGCGGGGGUUUGCAGGCAAACAUUGGAUUUAAGACCUGCAGUGCUUUGGGUCAGGGGAGCGUUUGGGAUUCCUGUGUUGGAGUUUGCUGCAGAGGCAGGGAUCGGGAGCAGGACCAACCCACAGCAUGUUCAGUGCAAGGGGACAGCCCCAGCCUUUGAACCAGUGGCAUCAUCUCUGGCAUUGUCCAGGGCUUCUGGUGAUGCUGCUGCUGAAGAGAAUGAAUUGAAGGAAGUUAUCCUGUAAAGGGGAAAGGAAGCACAGGAGGUGUCAGGCUGCCUGCAUGGCUCCUGCACAGCCUCGCAGCCUGGCGUGCAAGCAUCUCCGGUAGCCUCCACUCUGCCCCAUGCUGGAGGUCACUGGUACAGGCAGAGGAGGUGAUGGAUUUCCGGGGUGUCUUUAAUAUCCAGUCAUGUUGGGUUUAUUCAUUCAGACACUAAAUGAGCAUAAUCUGGUCUUUUCUAAAAACCACAGGGUUUUAUUUCUUGCAUUUCUCAGAAAAAAGAGUAUUUUCAGGCAAACUGAACAGGUUUGAACUGUUGGAACCUGGAUUGAUUUACCUGACAUGUUAACGCUGGCACUUCUGGGAAAAUCCUUGAUGUUCAGCACCCCCUAAGAGGAAAGCAUAAGGUAAUGUUUCCCCAUAGAGCAUUUGGAAGGACCAGGCUCUUUCCAGCAGCAAAAGCAGCAGAUCUGCUGGGUGGACCCACAUAUUAAGGAUGCUUAAGGGGUGAGGGGAGGACAGUUAAUUGCUGGCUUUGUUUCUGACACUGUUUGCCCUGUGUAACUGCUUGUUCUCUUCUAGUUACAGACUCUGUGAUAGCACCCGUGAAGAAAAACCAAAGUCCUAUGGUGGUAAUGCAUGCACGUUAAAUGUCUUCAUUGUAGAGUGUUCUUCAGUGCCUUAUAGCAUGGUUUCAAAAUACAUACACACACACAUAUAUAUAUAUAUAUAAAAAUCCAAAAUACCAUUUGGAAUGUCAACAUUCAGUGGGCUUUGAGGAGAUGUAGCAGCACAUCAUGGUUUGUAGGGACAAGGAGAUACAGACCAUUCUGGGCUGCCUCAUUACCUCAAGGAUAAGACAAGAAAGUGAGCUUCUGGUUAUCAUAGAUGUGGGAGCUAACACAUUCCCAUGUAUCUCUGUAGUUGAGUUGAACAGGUACGUGUAGAUCAGCUCUUGGCGCUUGUGUCUGUGCACAUCCUCUGCAGCUCCAAAUACAUUCCCUAUGAGCUCGUGUGUCCGUGCGUCUCAGCGGGGCUGGCCUCGCAGGCAGGCAGGACAUGAGGCUCCUUUUGUCCUCCAACACGGGCACAACCAACAUUGGCACGAGCACGGUGCCUUCAGCUGGUGCCUCACCUCUUGCUUUCCCCAGCAAAGGAUCAACCCAGGUACUCUUGCCCUGUGUUUUGGGGGGGGAAGGUGGGGUUUGGGGCCGUGGCGAUGGACAGUUGUCAGCAGUGCUCUAGCAGCACGGAAAUACUGGAGUUGGGGAUUGCCUGUUGCUCUCCAGUAUUGCAUUGCUGCUUUAGUGAGGCUGGAAAUCGGUCCCUGCCGCAGGAGCCGGGCUCUGCUGCUGCGCGGGGGCUCUCGGCUCCCACCCCAAUAAAUCACUGCGGAGGCAGCAACCA